UAAAACAUCAGACCCACGUACACGAUGGUCUCGGGGCAGGAACGGGGCUCCAGCGCAAGGGAAAGGCUUCGCCAUGGCUAGCUACUUUCCUCACAUCUGGCUCCCACGACGUCCGUGGAGCAGCACCGCACCAGUUCAUAUCUCGGGCUUGGAAUUUCUACACGAGAAUCACAGGGUACACAUACAUACUGGACUAUAUUCUUUUACCGAAUGCUCUUUUCUGUUCCGUACAUGUGUUAAUUUUGUAGAGAACUAGUAGUGGUAUGGUAUCGGUAUGGCAGUCCGGCUGCAUGGAGUAGUCUCGGAGAUCCUCCUUCCCAUUCCUCCGCCCAGCUAGCCGUCCCAUGAUUGACCCCUUCCCCCACAGUGCCUGAAAUUCUGACUUUGGAGCUGAGAGCAGAUGCUUACGGGGUUAAUUUGUCAGUCUUCUAUUUGAAUGUGCAUCUUGAUCUCAUGUAGUCCACCGCGAUACCAUACGGGUAUCUGCGCGAGAAACUGAAACCGGUACCAUUUCAAAAUUACCCCAUGAGAACCUGAAAACCAACUAGUAUGAUGCAAAUAGUGAUUAGAGAACUAACAAUUGCAAAAAAAAAAACCAGAAAAACUGGCGAUAGAAAAUAGGAGAGAAAACUUAGACAGGAAAAGGUGAAGAAAAAAAUAGAAAGGAUAAAUUGGCGUACUGCACUCGCUCGAGGGCAAGGGACGAUUACAAGUAAUUCAAAGUCUGAGGAACAGUUAUGGAGCCGACUUUGAAAGCUAAAUGUUGGGCCGAAAGUGUGGGUUUUCUGGUGUGGCUACACUGAAGCAUCGACCCAUGAAAGGGCUGAGCAGGUGUAAUAUUUGCCUCCCAAUGGAGAUUUUUUUUUUGAAACGGAGGCAAAAGCUUUGCCUCAUCUCAUGAAAAAGGAGGGGAGUAACAGAGGUCAUAUGAGGGUCAUUACUCCUCCACAAAUAAAAAGUUAAGCCUACUCUCGCGGCAUCAAAGAACCCAAGUGCCUAGCCCCAGCGAUGAUCCAGUUCUUCGCCUCUGCCUUAAUGCCUCCGACCACCACAGUUGGCAGCCUACAUGUUUGUUGAAAAACUCUUGAGUUUCUCUCUUUCCAGACCUCCCAAGAAACAAGCAUGAUAAGAGAAGACACCGCUUUCCGCCUAUGACCAUGAGUGAGAACCACCGAAGUCCACCACUCACUGACGGAGGGUAUUCCGGCCUAUGUCGCUACAUCCAACUCCGGCGCGUCCACCCAAGCUUUGACCGCAUUCCAAAUAAUGAGUGGAGAACCUACAUUUGAAGAGGAGAUGCAUAGCAGUCUCCAGCUCCCUCUUGCAAAGCUGGCAUAAGUUGCAGUUUGGCCAACCUCUCCGCUGUAGUCGAUCGGCGGUCCAGACCCUAUCCUUGAUGACAAGCCAGGCAAAGAAUUUGCACUUAGGCGGUGCCCAACUAUUCCACACCAUCUUGGGCAUGGGUGAGAUGAUAGAGCCCUCGAACUGGGCCUUGUAAGCCGAGGCCGCGGAGUAGAGCACGUUGGCGGCAAUGUUCCAUCUGAUGUCGUCAGCAACGUUGUCAUGUAAGUGCACCUCUUAAAUCUUCUCCCAGAGGCCACAAAAUUGCUCGAUGUGCUCCACCAAGAGGCCUCCCAAAAGGUUGAUCCACCGGAUCCAAUUGUUUUCAAGCAAGGCCUUCUUCACACAGAUUUGUUCUUGUUGGCAAAGAUCUCGAAGACCAGAGGUGCGAGAUCUUUGGGCUUCUUUCCAUCGAGCCAUGGAGAAUGCCAAAACCGGGCCUUCCGACCAUCCCCCACGGUGAUGGUCGUUACGGCAUAGAAGAGGGCUCUGUCAGUGGAGCCACAAGGGUUUCCUUAUCUUACCCACGCCCGUUGCGGCUCCUUCCACCCAUAGCAAAGCCAACGAAGUCGCAGGGCCCGAGCAUACAUGCGGAAGUCAAGGAUACCGAGUCCACCAAGACGUUCUGGCCUACAAACCAGCCGCCAGAUGACCUUGCACUGUCCUCUAGACACUUGAUACUUGCAAUAGUGUCAUGUGAACACGAUAGCGAUUCUGGACUGGAUCAAAACCGGACUUGAUCAAAACCUUCUUUGCCUGGCCUAUCCGGAGGUUUUCGCUCAAUCCAUUAGGAAGAACAGAUCGGUUCAGAAAGCGCUGCACGAAGACCGGCGGAUCCUCGAUCUUCGCCACACAACCACGACAACAUCAUGCAUCUUGUACUCCAAUUGGCAAGGGAGAUUCAAAGCGUUGGGAUCAUGAUGGAAGAUGGGAGGGAGGAUGUGAUCAGAUGGACUUUGAGCAGCUCUGGUCAGUACUCUGCGCAUUCUGCCUACAACGUGUAGUUCGACGACAUCUCAACGACAACAAUCAACUUCAGAGGAUCAAUCAAGAAGGUUGGGCACCCGACAAGACCAAAAUGUUCAUCUGGCUGCUGCGCCUGGAGAGGCUAUGGUGUAUUGACCGGCUGCAGCGCAGAGGUUGGGGCAACAACUACUUCUGUCAGUUGUGCAUGGGGAACCUCGGGACCUCUUCACACCUCUUCUGGGAGUGCCCUCUCGCCAUCUAAGUGUGGAACAAGGUGGCCACCAAGUGUGGAUGCAGCGCCCUGGCAAGCAGCAGCUGGAGCACAGGGAAGACAACGGGCGAGCGCGUCCAGAUGAUCAUCGACCACGCGACCACAGGCACCAAGAAAGGGACUAAAUUGAUGCUCGCUUUGCUCUCCAGGCAGAUAUGGCUUGAGCGCAAUGCAUGCACCUUCAGGGAAAAGAUUGCAAGCGAGUGAAGCAUCACUGAAGCCUACCGGCAGUACAUGGAGCAAUGGAGGAUCGCUGGAGCGAAAUGCAUGGAGCACCCGUUCGGGGACGUGUCGUGAGAAAUCACACAUAGGAGCGUUUUUGCCAGCAUAGGACCAACCUAGGCUGGCAUGUAACAUUUGUUUUUCUUCCAUCGAUCUCUUGAUCAACACCUGUUUCUCCCCCCCUCUCUCUCUCUGCUUAUGAAAUGAACACCGUCGUCAGCUGGAUCUUUCAAUAAAAAAACCUUCAUUACAAUUGAAGUUGCCAAGGCCACAUCUUGUUACUUGGGCCAAGGAUUCUUCUUGUGACUAAAUUUUUUCAAAGGAAGACAGAGGACAUUUUUUGGUAAACAUUUGGUCCUUCAAGGCUCAAAACCGGAUAAGUUUGGUCGAAAACUAGAUUUUGCCUAUGUUGACCAGAUUUGACCACCUUGACCGGGUUUGACUGAUGAACAAUAAUUCAAAAAAAAUUCAAGAAAAUAUGAAAUUUUGGGGUAACCAAGAUGCUUUGCUAGGUGCAUGAAAAUUCAUGUGGUGUUUCGACAUUCAAGGAGCUCGUGAAAAAAAUACAAAUUUUGGCUCACAAAAGAAACCGAUUUUUUGCGGGAGCUCCUCGGAUGUUAUUUGACCACAAAAAUUUACACGCACCUAGCGCACCCAAGCAUCUUGGUUGUCACAAAAUUUUGGGUUUUUAAAAUUUGUUUGCUAUUUUUUCAGAUUUACUGUUCAUUGGUCAAACUCGGUCAACGUGCUCAAAAUGGACCAAACCUAUCCGGUUUUGAGACUUGAAGGACCAAAUGUCUAAAAAAAUCUUGAGGGACCAAGUCUAUACUUUUGAGGAACUUGAGGGACCAAAAACAUACUUUUUCCUUAUUAUUAUGUGAGCUAUCUCAUCUUCUAGGAAUCGUUGGACUCAUAACCAGGAGGCCUUCGAUCCACGAGUGACGCUGAAGUGACAUUGCUCCGAAACAGUGUUGGCGGCCGCCCGAUUCUUGUUGGGUGAAGAUUAAUACUGAUGGAGUCAUAGUAGCUGAUGAGCGCAAGGAGAGGUGGAGGGGUUGCUUGUUCGCGAACUAUCUUUGUACUUGGUUUAACCCUAUAUAGGAUCCUCUCAUCGUAGAAGCAGUAGCUCUCCAGGACAGCGUUUAUGUUUGGCAAGUUUGUGGGACUUCACCAAGGUAGUAUAAAUACGAACUGUCUUGGGGUGGUCAGCCUCUGGAAUUCUCGCCACAGUUCUUGGUCAAUUGUGUCUCCUAUAUUCUUAAAAAUUGGGGAGUUUGCUUCUGAUUUUUCUUCAUUUGUUAUUCAAAAUGUUCAUAGGACUACAAAUAAGUCGGGUCAUCUUUUGUGUUAUGCAUGGAUGCUUGCACCAAACAAUAGGAUGUUUUAUGCAAUGACAGUCGUGAAAGUUGCUCAAGUUUGAUCCUUCCAUUUCAAUUGUGAAGGACUAACUUGUAGACUAUGUUCUUCAUGUCGUUAUUACGAGCUUUUUUUCAUUUCUUGGUCUAGUCCUUGCUCUUAUCCUUCUCCUUGAUGAUGAUAAUCAUUAUGUUUCUCUUCGUGGUGGCUCGAGACAAUGCAACAUAUAGCCGACCAUGAUAGAACACCGUGUCAAGUAGAUACUUGAGACAAUCAGAAGCUGCUUCAUCUUGAAUUUGAACAAGAACAUGUCAUCGUUGCAGGUCGGAGAAGUAUCCAAGGAAGGACACCCCCCUACCGAUGUGUUGUCCCAGCACAAUUUAUGUGUAGAUGUGUUCCUCUGAAAACCCAGACAAUAAAUCGUGUUUCAUCACACGGUCCAUCAACUUGAUCGCCCAAUGGUAUAACAUGGUAGAUUAUCUUCAAUCUAAGCACAUGUAAAGGUAGCCCAUUGAGAUUUAACAAGUUCAGGAACUCUUGAGCACAAUACUCAUCCUUCUUACUAACAAAGUUGUGGUAGAUUAACUCUUCACCUGAAAGCGCUUAAUCAUUCAUAUAUUUAUCUUUUCAAUUGUCAUGCUUCUCUAGCACAUGUAGAUGAUAUCAUUUCACAUGGUUUUUUUCAUAUUCAACACGCAAAAGUACACUAAAAUAACUUUGGCCAACCAAGAAAAAAGUUCACAUAUAUCUCUUAAAUGUGCAAUUUCCUCCUGAUAACAAUUCUAUAUACUUGAAAGAAAGUGAAGACACCCUAUAACAUGAGACAAUUCAGCAAUACAAAAUGAAAAUAUGUAUUUGUUAGAGUGUGUGUUAUGGGUACACAUAUGAAAUCUUGAUAUCCUCCUCCUGCUUCUGAGUAUGCUUGGUGCAUAAAUUUGACCCGUUGUUGAUUGAAGAUUUGUAUGAUUUCUUAAGUGUAAACCCAAUGUCAAGAGAAGAAUCUUGCAUAAUGUAUGUUUGAUUUGAUUUCUAUUCUUGCUCCAUACUUUUUGUUAAUAUGUUUGCAUGCUUUAUAUUAACCAAUUUGAGUUAAACGUCAUGUUCUAGAUGGUAGUAGUAUGUAUAAGAAACCCUUGAAACUUUGUUGAUUCUUACAAUUUUAGAUGCAACCUAAGUUGUACGUGAUGCAUAAUGAUUGGCAUGUAAACUUGGGCUGCUUUCUGAACUUGUAACUUCGAGUGGAACAUGAGUAGUAAUAUAAUUAUACUCAUCGGGGUUGCGUUAUUUAGACUUGUUUGUGCAACUUUGCAGGCAACGAGAUAAACCUGAACACCUUAGCUCUAGACGGUGUCAAAGUUAUGGAAGAACGCUUAGCGGAUGAGCCAAGUGCCAUAUGCAACUGGUGAUUUGAACUCGAAGGGCUUAGUUCUCAAGGAAACAAGUAAGUACAUUGUUGAUUGCUUUUCGCUCUACUUACCACUCUGAUUGUUAUCGUGCUCUUAGUUAUGUGAUGUAUAUCUCAUGUUUGCAUUGGGAUAAAUUGGAUCAUAGCUAAUGAAAUUCCAAAAAGAAGAACAACGAUAUAUUGGAAAAUUGGCUACCGAUUGGUUGGUUGUGAACUUCCUUUGCCGGCCUCACAAAACUUGUUGAUUUUCGUCAAUUUAGAACUUGCCAAAUGUUGGCAAGCCAAUUUUGUCUCCUAACCAAGUGUGCUUGAAACCCUGAUGCUGGUGAAGGUGGUGUUUAGCAGCAUGGACUAGGGUUAGGGAGACGUGAGCUGCUUUGGGUAGUGUCGGGUGAGAG
This 5959-nucleotide long non-coding RNA is filed under the name Triticum aestivum (bread wheat). RNAcentral describes it as "long non-coding RNA (TAES_LNC027417)". Lineage: Eukaryota; Viridiplantae; Streptophyta; Magnoliopsida; Poales; Poaceae. The record is from RNAcentral.